GACGAACGCUGGCGGCGUGCUUAAUACAUGCAAGUCGAACGGAAAGGUGCUGCUCUUGUUGGUUGCUCGUGUGGCGAACGCGUGAGUAUCACGUGUGUAUCCUGUCCUUGUCUUUGGGAUAUCUUCACGAAACUGGGGCUCAUAUCGGAUAUAAUCUCCUGCUGCAUGGUGUUGGUUGGAAAGUUUCGGCGGUUGUGGAUGGACUCGCUGCUUAUCAGCUUGUUGGUGUAGUAGUGGCUUACCAAGGCUUUGACGGGUAGCCGGCAUGAGAGCGUGACCGGCGACAAUGGGACUGAGAGACGGAGCAGACUGGUACGGGAGGCAGCAGUGGGGAAUAUGGCACAGUGAGCCGAAGCCAGAUGCAGAAACGCCGCGAGCGGGAAGACGGCCUUCGGGGGAUAAACAACUUUCGACGGUGACAAAGCGUGAGUGACGGUAAUGGGUAAAGAAGCACCGGCUAACUACGUG
This 468-nucleotide ribosomal RNA is filed under the name uncultured bacterium. Its description in RNAcentral is "partial 16S ribosomal RNA". It matches the Rfam family "Bacterial small subunit ribosomal RNA", at positions 28 to 507 of the family's 1533-position model. The record is from RNAcentral.